AUCUUGGUGUAUGUGCCGAUAUAGUAGCCCAUAUUAGUGUUGGGGGGAUCUUACCAUUGGCUGCAGGGAUCCCAGCUUAUAUUUCCUCUUUUCCCUCAGGGUCCAACUGAGCCCAGGAGCUGCGCGGAAUGGUGGCAGUCACCUUGCCGGUGCAGUGGGCAUGGACCAGACUGCAAGCUAGAGGGACAAGACAUCAGACAGGAAAAGAGGACACACGCCCAGGCUUGAGGCUUCUUCAUCGGGAUGUCCCCAGGCCUCCCAGCCCAGGCCCAGCAUAAAGGCCGUGUGGGGGGGCCCCCCUGACCCAAGGGGGGCUUCAUGCGCCACGUGCAGGCGGAGCUGUCUCCAUCCUCAGAGCCAGAGGCUGGCCCUUCACAGCCUCCAGUCACACAGGGGACCCUCCAGGGUGGCCUGCUCAUGGGCUACAGCCCAGCAGGGGGGGCAACAU
Molecule: long non-coding RNA, 448 nt
Filed under: Rattus norvegicus (Norway rat)
Lineage: Eukaryota; Metazoa; Chordata; Mammalia; Rodentia; Muridae
Description: long non-coding RNA NONRATT023181
Source: RNAcentral